UACGUAGGCAGCAAGCGUUGUUCGGAGUUACUGGGCGUAAAGAGUGCGUAGGCGGUUUCCUAAGUUUGAUGUGAAAGCUCAGGGCUUAACCCUGAAAUGGCAUUGAAUACUGUUGGGCUGGAGGUUUGGAGGGGGGACUGGAAUUCUUGGUGUAGCAGUGAAAUGCGUAGAUAUCAAGAGGAACACCAGUGGCGAAGGCGAGUCCCUGGACAACACCUGACACUGAGGCACGAAAGCUAGGGGAGCAAACAGG
Molecule: ribosomal RNA, 253 nt
Filed under: uncultured bacterium
Lineage: Bacteria
Description: partial 16S ribosomal RNA
Rfam family: Bacterial small subunit ribosomal RNA
Source: RNAcentral